This 325-nucleotide ribosomal RNA is filed under the name Brevibacillus laterosporus. RNAcentral describes it as "bacterial SSU rRNA". It matches the Rfam family "Bacterial small subunit ribosomal RNA", at positions 1 to 332 of the family's 1533-position model. The record is from RNAcentral. Lineage: Bacteria; Bacillati; Bacillota; Bacilli; Caryophanales; Paenibacillaceae.
UGGAGAGUUUGAUCCUGGCUCAGGACGAACGCUGGCGGCGUGCCUAAUACAUGCAAGUCGAGCGAGGGUCUUCGGACCCUAGCGGCGGACGGGUGAGUAACACGUAGGCAACCUGCCUGUAAGACUGGGAUAACAUAGGGAAACUUAUGCUAAUACCGGAUAGGGUUUUGCUUCGCCUGAAGCGAAACGGAAAGAUGGCGCAAGCUAUCACUUACAGAUGGGCCUGCGGUGCAUUAGCUAGUUGGUGAGGUAACGGCUCACCAAGGCGACGAUGCGUAGCCGACCUGAGAGGGUGACCGGCCACACUGGGACUGAGACACGGCCC